GGCAGGAGGUUCGACUCGAGCGAAGCGAGAGAACGUUGCGUCAGCAACGGCCCGCAGGGCGAGCCACGAAGUGGUGAGUCAUCCUCUAUCACCGACCA
Molecule: small RNA, 98 nt
Filed under: Klebsiella pneumoniae
Lineage: Bacteria; Pseudomonadati; Pseudomonadota; Gammaproteobacteria; Enterobacterales; Enterobacteriaceae
Description: partial RtT sRNA
Rfam family: RtT RNA
About the family: This family represents a bacterial cis-regulatory element known as RtT RNA. The exact function of RtT is unknown although it is thought that it may be involved in changing the cellular response in relation to amino acid starvation.
Source: RNAcentral